RNAcentral lists this ribosomal RNA (433 nucleotides) under Clostridioides difficile. RNAcentral's name for it is "bacterial LSU rRNA". It matches the Rfam family "Bacterial large subunit ribosomal RNA", at positions 1377 to 1819 of the family's 2925-position model. The record is from RNAcentral. Lineage: Bacteria; Bacillati; Bacillota; Clostridia; Peptostreptococcales; Peptostreptococcaceae.
GGGUUAGUCGGGACCUAAGCUGAGGCCGAAAGGCGUAGGUGAUGGACAACAGGUUGAUAUUCCUGUACUACCGAUAACCGUUUGAGAGAAGGGAUGACACAGUAGGAUAAGCUAAGCACACUGUUGGUUAUGUGUGCCCAAGCAUUGAGGCAGUCAAAGUAGGCAAAUCCGCUUUGAUAAUGCUGGGAUGUGAUGGGGAGCGAAAUUUAGUAGCGAAGUAGCUGAUUUCACACUGUCAAGAAAAGUCUCGAUCGAGGUUAAAGGUACCCGUACCGCAAACCGACACAGGUGGGUGAGGAGAGUAUCCUAAGGCCAGCGAGAGAACUGUUGUUAAGGAACUCGGCAAAAUGACCCCGUAACUUAGGGAUAAGGGGUGCCACCAUCAGGUGGCCGCAGAGAAUAGGCCCAAGCGACUGUUUACCAAAAACAUAGG